This is a long non-coding RNA of Panthera uncia (snow leopard), 1114 nucleotides long. RefSeq lists it as uncharacterized. The record is from RefSeq and is a predicted model, not a curated record. The transcript has 3 exons. NCBI's taxonomy places the organism in Eukaryota, Metazoa, Chordata, Mammalia, Carnivora, Felidae.
UCCCGCGUGGGAGCCCCGGCGGCGGCCUGCGUUCAGUUGGGUUCCGACGACAGCCUCAGGCGUGCCUCCGAUGCCCACGCAGCGCCUCUCCCGUGGCCGUUGGAUCCAGAUUCUGCGGAACCCAGAAAUCUCUACUCAGAUGAAGGUCUUCUCCGUAAAAACCAGCCAGUGAAUUCCAGACAUUCGUAUCCUCCUUUGCACGCGUCUCCGCGCCUCGGACGCCGUCCUGCUCCUGCUCCUGCUCCGGGCAGAGGAACAAAGGGGAGCAGCUGAGGUUCUCUCUGGGCUGGUCCCCAGGAGCUGCCGGCGGAAUGGGUCCGCGGGGGCGCGAGGACUGACAGAAUGCCUGAUUAUAAGGACGUGUGGGGACCAGGAGCGACGUGAUUAUUUAUGCUGCUCUCGCCCGCGGUCUCCACCAGAAGGGGGGUCUGAGGCAGCUGGGGCCCCAGGGCCCUUGUUGGCAGGGCUCUGGGCUGCUUCUAAGCCUUCGGACCGUCCAGACCGAGGCCCAGCAGUCACCUCAUUUCAGGUGUUUAGGGAAGGAUGCGCCGUCCCCCAGUGGGGUGUCCCCCCAGCCGGUAUCAUCCCAAAGCUGUUCCCUUAUUGGGGGGGGGGGCCGGGGACCCCUCCGAGCACCAGCCCGGCUCCAGUCAACCCUGGGAGGUCACGGAGCAGCCCAGACCCCCACCCUUUGCAGGACCGUUUCCCUCCCGUGGAGGGGCUGCUGGGGAGGGGGCUGUGUUCCAACUCGCCCCUUCCCCGGGGGUUGGGGGGCUCUGGAGGGAAGCGGGGUUGGGCUAAUGGACUCACUCCUGCGUCUCUCCUGGGAAGGGGCUUGUAUCUGUGCUGUUUGUCGGGACCCCAGACACGGCCCCAAAAUUGCACCGUGAGUGAGUGAGCUUCCCGGGGCCCCGUCUCCACCUUCUCACGCACCUGGAGACACUGCGAAUUCGAUGCUGGCCCUCUAACAGCAGAGUCCAGAGCCUCCCGCCCAUGACCUUGCCUGCUUGCAGUGUCCCCGACGAACACGAGCCCUUCCGGGGCUUUCUGCAGGGCUGCGGAUGUGAGGGUCGAUCCUCCUCCUCCACCCCUCCCCUCCCCUCCCCUCCCCUGC